GAUGAACGCUGGCGGCGUGCCUAAUUCAUGCAAGUCGAGCGAACGGACGAGAAGCUUGCUUCUCUGAUGUUAGCGGCGGACGGGUGAGUAACACGUGGAUAACCUACCUAUAAGACUGGGAUAACUUCGGGAAACCGUAGCUAAUACCGGAUAAUAUUUUGAACCGCAUGGUUCAAAAGUGAAAGACGGUCUUGCUGUCACUUAUAGAUGGAUCCGCGCUGCAUUAGCUAGUUGGUAAGGUAACGGCUUACCAAGGCAACGAUGCAUAGCCGACCUGAGAGGGUGAUCGGCCACACUGGAACUGAGACACGGUCCAGACUCCUACGGGAGGCAGCAGUAGGGAAUCUUCCGCAAAGGGCGAAAGCCUGACGGAGCAACGCCGCGUGAGUGAUGAAGGUCUUCGGAUCGUAAAACUCUGUUAUUAGGGAAGAACAUAUGUGUAAGUAACUGUGCACAUCUUGACGGUACCUAAUCAGAAAGCCACGGCUAACUACGUG
Molecule: ribosomal RNA, 497 nt
Filed under: uncultured bacterium
Lineage: Bacteria
Description: partial 16S ribosomal RNA
Rfam family: Bacterial small subunit ribosomal RNA
Source: RNAcentral